This 31-nucleotide ribosomal RNA is filed under the name Eimeria innocua. Its description in RNAcentral is "small subunit ribosomal RNA". Lineage: Eukaryota; Apicomplexa; Conoidasida; Eucoccidiorida; Eimeriidae. The record is from RNAcentral. RNAcentral also lists the same sequence under 6 other names.
UCGAUUUUAACGGUUUGCUCCUGAAAAAAGA